AGAAAACAUCUGGGCCGAAGCCAGUGGAGCGACGCCCGUACGCCGCACCCGCCCUAGGCCGAGCUCCCGAGCACGCCGCAGCCUCGACCUUGCGACCCGCCGGCGACCGGAUCCUCGCCGGAGAUGAGUGCCGUCGUGCCCUGCUCCCUCUCCUCUUCCUCUGUCUCCUCUCACCUCGCUCAUCACCCGAUCUCUCUGUCCCCAGGAAGAAUAGGAGCAUGCCAUGGCCUCGGAUCCGCGCCGCCGUCGUCGUAGAACGUCGUCCGCCACCGGUUCUCGGACCACAAUUACUGGAUCAAGUUGCCCCGUCUCCGAUCUACCUCGUCAUCGGGCAUGCACAGAGACGGCUAUGUCCAUCCGAUUCCCGAGCGCCGCCGGCCAAGGUGGCCGCCCGUGGCCGCCUGAUGCACGAGCGCCGCCGGCCAAGGACCCGCCUGCGUCCAGAACCCCUCCACGCAUCAUGUUUUCUAUGGUUUUGUUUUCCCCGCCUCCAUCUCUUCCAUGACAAGCAGCACAAUUUUCUUUGUUUGUAAAUUAAGCAGUCUGGUAGACUUGGAAAGAAAGGAAUUGCAGAUUUCAAAAGGAGGAACAGGGUAUAUACAUCGGCAUAAGAUUUGGAAAGGAGGAACAGGGCGCCGGAGACAGAGGGAUCCGGUGCAGACUCGAUGCCCUCCACCGAAACCCCUACUCAAUUGCUUCUCGUGCUCGAGUUUGACACAGGCGCCAUCGCAGCUAGGGACGCUGAUGUGGAGGCCGGAGACAGAGGGAUCUCGUGUUCAUGGAGGCCGCCAACACAUGGGCCGUGGACACAUCGUAGUGUUCCUUCCAGGGCUCCAGACGUGGAUGGGCGUGGAUUUCUCCCAGGCGAUCGUCGACAGAGCUUGCUCCAGAUACUCCCAAUUGUGCGCCCGAUUAUUCAAGGAAGUGACAGCCACUGGAAGCACGGAUCGACAAAUUAGACAGUAGACCCAGGCCAUGGAUCGGUUGAUUCAACACCGAAGGAAGAGGCAAUAGGUUAUAAAAACGAGCUGGGGGAUUUUUACUGGCCUGAAUCUUAAACAUGGCCGCCCUGCUGAUGGACUCAAGCUCCAGCUGUCAGAAGUCUACGGACAGUCAAGUAAUAGAUACGAACCCUUGAUUGAAGGAGAACUCUGUGCACUUCUGAUAGCAUCCGGACCGUAAAUCUGUAGCAGGUCCUCAACGAAUCAUUCCAAGGCAUACAUGUAGCAGGUCCUGAACAUAUCAUCCAGACCAUGUUUCACACGUCGUGUGCUUAUGUAAUUCGGUUUUUACAAUACAUCUUUUUUGAUCAAUAAGCAUCUACAUUGUUCUUGUAAUCUAAUUAAAGGCCAACUAUUUCUCUGGCAUAUGGUGAAUUGACCAUGGAAGGAUUUGUCUUGCUAAGCA
This is a long non-coding RNA of Triticum dicoccoides, 1407 nucleotides long. RefSeq lists it as uncharacterized. The record is from RefSeq and is a predicted model, not a curated record. The transcript has 3 exons. NCBI's taxonomy places the organism in Eukaryota, Viridiplantae, Streptophyta, Magnoliopsida, Poales, Poaceae.